CCUACGGGUGGCAGCAGUAGGGAAUAUUGCUCAAUGGGGGAAACCCUGAAGCAGCAACGCCGCGUGGAGGAUGACGGUUUUCGGAUUGUAAACUCCUUUUGUUAGAGAAGAUAAUGACGGUAUCUAACGAAUAAGCACCGGCUAACUCCGUGCCAGCAGCCGCGGUAAUACGGAGGGUGCAAGCGUUACUCGGAAUCAUUGGGCGUAAAGGGCGCGUAGGCGGGAUAGCAAGUCAGAUGUGAAAUCCUAUGGCUUAACCAUAGAACUGCAUUUGAAACUGUUAUUCUAGAGUAUGGUAGAGGUAGGUGGAAUGUUUGGUGUAGGGGUAAAAUCCGUAGAGAUCAAGAGGAAUACUCAUUGCGAAGGCGACCUGCUAGAACAUAACUGACGCUGAGGCGCGAAAGCGUGGGGAGCAAACAGGAUUAGAUACCCGAGUAGUC
Molecule: ribosomal RNA, 440 nt
Filed under: uncultured bacterium
Lineage: Bacteria
Description: partial 16S ribosomal RNA
Rfam family: Bacterial small subunit ribosomal RNA
Source: RNAcentral